Molecule: ribosomal RNA, 253 nt
Filed under: uncultured bacterium
Lineage: Bacteria
Description: partial 16S ribosomal RNA
Rfam family: Bacterial small subunit ribosomal RNA
Source: RNAcentral
UACAGAGGGUGCGAGCGUUAAUCGGAAUUACUGGGCGUAAAGCGCACGUAGGAGGCGACGUAAGUCGGGUGUGAAAGCCCCGGGCUCAACCUGGGAAUUGCAUUCGAUACUGCAUUGCUGGAGUACGGAAGAGGCGGGCGGAAUUCCCGGUGUAGCGGUGAAAUGCGUAGAUAUCGGGAGGAACAUCAGUGGCGAAGGCAGCCCUCUGGUCCAGUACUGACACUCAAGCGCGAAAGCGUGGGGAGCAAACAGG